This 362-nucleotide ribosomal RNA is filed under the name Teloschistes nodulifer. Its description in RNAcentral is "mitochondrial SSU rRNA". It matches the Rfam family "Bacterial small subunit ribosomal RNA", at positions 371 to 739 of the family's 1533-position model. Lineage: Eukaryota; Fungi; Ascomycota; Lecanoromycetes; Teloschistales; Teloschistaceae. The record is from RNAcentral.
AUAGCCUAACGGCUGAACCAGCAACUUGGACGAAUGUAUAGCAAUUGCUAGUUGCACUAAAGUUUUUAGUGUGAGAUCGACUUGGUUGAAUAAAAUUCUGGGUAGAAUUUUGAUAAUGACAAUAUCUGCCCAUGAGUCUUGACCAAAUUACGUGCCAGCAGUCGCGGUAAUACGUAGAAGACAAGUGUUAUUCAUCUUUAAUAGGUUUAAAGGGUACUUAGACGGGAAAUAAAGCCUUAAUAGGGAUACUAGUUUUCUAGAGUUUUAUGUGGAGGAGUAUUAAAGUACUUUUGGUGUAGAGAUAAAAUUCAGUUAUACCUUCAUGGCACGGGUUAAGGCGAAGGCAUCUUCUUAUGUAAAAA